UAGCGUAAUCACUUGUCCUCUAAAUAGGGACUCGUAUGAACGGCCAACUGAGGGCCCACCUGUUUCCUCUGACCAAUUAAUGAACCUGAUCUCUCAGUACAAAAGCUGAGAUCUACACAUAAGACGAGAAGACCCCGUGGAGCUUAAAAUAAUCUAGCAAACCCCACACCAUACUAGAUAUUUUUAGUUGGGGCGACUACGGAACAAAAAAACUUCCAUGCCAAAGACUAGCCCUCCUACAAAGGCACACAUGCCACUGUAACUUCACCACACGACCCAGUCAAACUGAGUACCGAACCAAGUUACCCCGGGGGUAACAGCGCCAUCCUCCUCAAGAGCCCCUAUCGCCAGGAGGGUUUACGACCUCGAUGUUGGAUCAGGACCCCCAAGUGGUGCAGCCACUACUAAAGGUUCGUUUGUUCAACGAUUAA
This 431-nucleotide ribosomal RNA is filed under the name Lepidoblepharis festae. RNAcentral describes it as "partial 16S ribosomal RNA". It matches the Rfam family "Bacterial large subunit ribosomal RNA", at positions 1957 to 2591 of the family's 2925-position model. The record is from RNAcentral. Lineage: Eukaryota; Metazoa; Chordata; Lepidosauria; Squamata; Sphaerodactylidae.